GCAAACUUGGUCAUUUAGAGGAAGUAAAAGUCGUAACAAGGUCUCCGUUGGUGAACCAGCGGAGGGAUCAUUACGAAAAGAGUAUUCCGUACUCGCAACCCUUUGUGAACCAUACCUCGUCUGUUUCUUCGGCGGGCGGCCCCUGGGAGGGGCCCCGGGGCCCGGCCUGAGCCGGGCGCCCGCCGGGGGGGCACAACCGAAACUCUUGCUGUACCUCAGUGGCACCUCCGAGUCAAUUACAAAAACAAGUUAAAACUUUCAACAACGGAUCUCUUGGUUCUGGCAUCGAUGAAGAACGCAGC
RNAcentral lists this unclassified non-coding RNA (302 nucleotides) under uncultured fungus. RNAcentral describes it as "partial contains small subunit ribosomal RNA, internal transcribed spacer 1, and 5.8S ribosomal RNA". The stretch from base 1 to 73 matches the Rfam family "Eukaryotic small subunit ribosomal RNA", at positions 1759 to 1831 of the family's 1831-position model. The record is from RNAcentral. Lineage: Eukaryota; Fungi.